UGUUCGUGACGGCGAGCUGUGUUCAGCUUGUUUUCUGCUCUGGGGUUAAACCAGUUAAACGCGGUCAGAUCAGCUUUAUAUAACAACUGUUCCUGGAUCAGAUUAAACCGGAUUAAACCAACGAGAGGCUCUUCUGAGAAACACGGUGUUAUCAGUAAUUCAUGUUCCUGACACCCGCCGCCUCUGCAGCUCGUCGGGCUCCGCUGGCAGCCUGCAGGUCGGCUCCAACGCUUCAACUAAAGAGAUUAGAAGUAAAACAGAAUGAAGUCUCUGCUGACGUGUCCAGUCGCUGCACACUGGCCGGAUGGACUCUGAUCAGAGCGCUCUGCUCCGCCUCUGUCCGAUGCUCGAGCUAAAACACUCUGCUGCGUUUGUGUGUCCUGAGUUUGGAAAACACUUCGGGCAGCAACAUUUGUUCUUUAACGGGCUACAGAAAUGAAGUUAAACAAACAGCACGACGGAAACAUAGGAGUCUGUUUUUUAUUUAUAUUCAGUCUGUAAAAAUAGAAUCAAUAUGUGAGAAACACCAGCAGAGUGACUGAUGGUCAGUGUUCAGUGGCAGCAGCAGGUGUAGCAGUAGUAGUAUUAGUAGAAGUGUCAGUAGAGCUUCAUGGAGGCAGCGAACAGCUGGCUCAGGUCGUCCUCGGUGUGUCCUCUGGGAGACAGUUUGGUCACUCGCUCCUGAAACGAAGAUGGUAAAUCUAAAACUCCAGAUCCCUUCAGAUCCUCUUAAAACACAUUCGUCUGAAAAGAGUUGAGCUGCCGCCUUAAAGGAAGUUUCAUUUACCAAGUCAGGAGGAAACCAAUGAAUCGAUCAUGAUAUAUACAGUUUGAGAGGAACGCCCAGUCCUGAGGCCUCCAGGCUCCUGUUCAGUUAGAGGCAUCACUUCUGUACUUUUAAACCUGAGCAGCAGAUUCUUCAGCCGGCAUUAAAGACACCUUGAUCAAUUAUAACUGCAUUAAUUUAACCAAUAACCUGGAUUUUAAGGUGUUUUAAGUUAAAUCUCUUUAAAAUAAAUGAACGGAGAGAUCAGCUGGAGGCAGAAAGGGACGGAUUCAGUUUGUUUCUGAGGACUAACGGAGAAACGACCCGUCAGGUAGGUGAAACUCACCUGAGGGAGGGUUCCUCUCACCAGAGCCGGGAUGUCGUCUGGACCGUAUCCCAGCGCUCCAAGUCCGUCCUCCACCUGCAGCUCAAACAGGAAGCGACGCAGCGUGUCGGCCAGGAGAGCGCCCGCAUCCUCCCUCUUCACCUGCCGAACGUCUGCACCUGAACGCAGCACAGGUGUGCAUCAGGCGAACAGGUACCGAGGAUCUCUGCAGCCUCCAGGUGGCGCUCUGGACACAUCGGGGCUGUGAAGCUGAAGACGGCCGGAGACGUGAGGACCACCGAGAGACCGUGAGGCUGAGGACACACAAAAUGAACGCCGGCGUUUCCGAAGCCGAUGCCAGCGAACACACUGGCCAGGUGCAUGCUGGACCGGGCCUCCAGAUCCUCCGGGUCCCGCACUGCUCUGUGAUCAAUCAAUCAAUCAAACAUCCUGUUAAUAAGAAUCAUGAUGCCAAAGAUUUGUGUUUCAUAAACUUCACCUGUUGGUUUUGUUUUUUACAUUUGAAUCUUUCACUUAAUUUUAUUAGAUUUUUUAUUUAAGUUAUAUUUUAAGUUCUUUUUAACAACAUUUUGUUUUUAAUGAUCGUUCAAUAAA
Molecule: long non-coding RNA, 1706 nt
Organism: Micropterus dolomieu (smallmouth bass)
Lineage: Eukaryota; Metazoa; Chordata; Actinopteri; Centrarchiformes; Centrarchidae
Exons: 3
Source: RefSeq, a predicted model, not a curated record